GCAGGGGUGGCAGAGCCUGGUCAAAUGCGACAACGCAGACCAAAUGCGCAAGGUUGAGGGCCUUGUCCCUUAGUGGGUGCGAGGGUUCAAAUCCCUUCCCCUGCA
RNAcentral lists this transfer RNA (105 nucleotides) under Candidatus Woesearchaeota archaeon ex4484_78. RNAcentral's name for it is "tRNA-OTHER". It matches the Rfam family "tRNA". Rfam says of the family: Transfer RNA (tRNA) molecules are approximately 80 nucleotides in length. The record is from RNAcentral. Lineage: Archaea; Nanobdellati; Candidatus Woesearchaeota.